Molecule: ribosomal RNA, 500 nt
Filed under: uncultured bacterium
Lineage: Bacteria
Description: partial 16S ribosomal RNA
Rfam family: Bacterial small subunit ribosomal RNA
Source: RNAcentral
AUUGAACGCUGGCGGAAUGCUUUACACAUGCAAGUCGAACGGCAGCACGGACUUCGGUCUGGUGGCGAGUGGCGAACGGGUGAGUUAUGUAUCGGAACGUGCCCAGUCGUGGGGGAUAACGUAGUGAAAAUUACGCUAAUACCGCAUACGAUCUAUGGAUGAAAGCGGGGGAUUGCAAGACCUCGCGCGAUUGGAGCGGCCGAUAUCAGAUUAGGUAGUUGGUGGGGUAAAGGCCCACCAAGCCAACGAUCUGUAGCUGGUCUGAGAGGACGACCAGCCACACUGGAACUGAGACACGGUCCAGACUCCUACGGGAGGCAGCAGUGGGGAAUUUCGGACAAUGGGCGAAAGCCUGAUCCAGCCAUUCCGCGUGCAGGAUGAAGGCCCUCGGGUUGUAAACUGCUUUUGUACAGAACGAAAAGGUUUCUACUAAUACUAGGAGCUCAUGACGGUACUGUAAGAAUAAGCACCGGCUAACUACGUGCCAGCAGCCGCAGUAA